GAUGAAGAACGUAGCGAAAUGCGAUAAGUAAUGUGAAUUGCAGAAUUCAGUGAAUCAUCGAAUCUUUGAACGCACAUUGCGCCCGCCAGUAUUCUGGCGGGCAUGCCUGUCCGAGCGUCAUUUCAACCCUCGGGACCCUUCGGGGAACCGGUGUUGGGGACCCGUCCGCCGACCCACGGCGGCCGGCCCCGAAAUACAGUGGCGGCCCUGCGGCGACCUCCUCUGCGUAGUAGCGAUACCUCGCAGCUGGAAAGCGGCAGCGGCCACGCCGUGAAACCCCCACUUCUAUGGUUGACCUCGGAUCAGGUAGGAAUACCCGCUGAACUUAAGCAUAUCAAUAAGCGGAGGA
RNAcentral lists this unclassified non-coding RNA (349 nucleotides) under soil metagenome. Its description in RNAcentral is "partial contains 5.8S ribosomal RNA, internal transcribed spacer 2, and large subunit ribosomal RNA". The stretch from base 1 to 120 matches the Rfam family "5.8S ribosomal RNA", at positions 35 to 154 of the family's 154-position model. The record is from RNAcentral.